UAGCUCAAUUGGUAGAGUGCUUGCCUCACAUGCAUAAGGCCCUGGGUUCAAUCCCCAG
RNAcentral lists this transfer RNA (58 nucleotides) under Ictidomys tridecemlineatus (thirteen-lined ground squirrel). RNAcentral's name for it is "Spermophilus tridecemlineatus (thirteen-lined ground squirrel) tRNA". It matches the Rfam family "tRNA", at positions 8 to 63 of the family's 71-position model. Rfam says of the family: Transfer RNA (tRNA) molecules are approximately 80 nucleotides in length. Their secondary structure includes four short double-helical elements and three loops (D, anti-codon, and T loops). Lineage: Eukaryota; Metazoa; Chordata; Mammalia; Rodentia; Sciuridae. The record is from Rfam by way of RNAcentral.